GGCGGAUGCCUUGGCUCUCGGAGGCGAUGAAGGACGUGAUAAGCUGCGAUAAGCUCCGGGGAGGUGCAAAUAACCUUUGAUCCGGGGAUUUCCGAAUGGGACAACCCGGCGUGUUGAAGACACGCCACCUGAUCAUUUCAGGAGCUAACGCAGGGAACUGAAACAUCUUAGUACCUGCAGGAAAAGAAAAUAACAAUGAUUCCCCCAGUAGUGGCGAGCGAACGGGGAAUAGCCCAAACCGUUCAUGUUACGGCAUGAUCGGGGUUGUAGGACUACGUCGUUGCAUGAAGACAUCGGAGAAGAACUUUCUGGAAAGAAAGACCAUAGAGCAUGACAGUUGCGUAUUCGUAUGUUGUCGAAGCAUAGUAGUAUCCUGAGUAGCGCGGAGCACGAGGAAUUCUGCGUGAAUCUGCCGGGACCAUCCGGUAAGGCUAAAUACUCCCGAGAGACCGAUAGCGAACCAGUACCGUGAGGGAAAGGUGAAAAGCACUUCGAACAGAAGAGUGAAAUAGUUCCUGAAACCGUGCGCCUACAAGCGGUCGGAGCUCGUUAAUGAGUGACGGCGUGCCUUUUGCAUAAUGAACCUACGAGUUGCCUUUGCCGGCAAGGUUAAGUGUGACGACACACGUAUCCGAAGCGAAAGCGAGUCUGAAGAGGGCGUAUAGUCGGCAGUGGCAGACGCGAAACCAAGUGAUCUACCCUUGGCCAGGUUGAAGGCUGGGUAACACCAGCUGGAGGACCGCACCAAUAAGCGUUGAAAAGCUUCUGGAUGAGCUGAGGGUAGGGGUGAAAGGCUAAUCAAACUUGGAGAUAGCUCGUACUCCCCGAAAUGCAUUUAGGUGCAGCCUUGCGGGUUACUGAUGUGAGGUAGAGCGACUGAUAAGAUGCGAGGGCUUCACCGCCUAUCAAGUCUUGAUAAACUCCGAAUGCGCAGUAGUUCGAUCCCAGGAGUGAGGGCAUGGGUGCUAAGGUCCAUGUCCUAAAGGAGAAGAAUCCAGACCAUCAGCUAAGGUCCCCAAAUAAACACUAAGUUGAACUAACGAAGUCAGAUUGCUAAGACAGCUAGGAUGUUGGCUUGGAAGCAGCCAUUCAUUUAAAGAGUGCGUAACAGCUCACUAGUCGAGGAGUUUGGCGUGGAUAAUAAUCGGGCAUAAGUAUUCUACCGAAGCUUUGGGAUGAGAAAUCAUCGGUAGGGGAGCAUUCCACUCGGCGUCGAAGGUGAGGCGCGAGCUUUGCUGGAGCGUGUGGAAAAGCAAAUGUAGGUAUAAGUAACGAUAAAGGGGGUGGGAAACCCCCUCGCCGAAAGACUAAGGUUUCCUGAUCAACGCUAAUCGGAUCAGGGUAAGUCGGGUCCUAAGGCUCAGCCGAACGGCGAGGCCGAUGGCAGAACCGGUUAAUAUUCCGGUACUACCUGUGGGAGUGACGUGGAGACGGAGUCGUGACAGCGCCGCGGACUGACGGAAUAGUCCGUUGAAGGGUGUAGAUGCUGAUUGUUCCAGGCAAAUCCGGAGCAAGAGUCGAACCUGAUAGUAUGGAGCGUUCUUAGAACAAUCCAAUAGUGCGUGUAAUCAUACUUCCAAGAAAAUCCGCUAAACUUAAUCCUGCAGGUACCCGUACCGCAAACGGACACACGUAGUCGGGUUGAAUAUACUAAGGCGCUUGAGUGAUUCACGGUUAAGGAACUAGGCAAACUGACCCUGUAACUUCGGGAUAAAGGGUCCCUACCCGGUGACGGGAGGGCGCAGAGAAUAGGUCCAGGCAACUGUUUAACAAAAACACAGGGCUGUGCUAAAUUGAAAGAUUACGUAUACAGCCUGACACCUGCCCGGUGCUGGAAGGUUAAGAGGAGAUGUCAUCGCAAGAGAAGCGUUGAAUUGAAGCCCCAGUAAACGGCGGCCGUAACUAUAACGGUCCUAAGGUAGCGAAAUUCCUUGUCGGGUAAGUUCCGACCUGCACGAAUGGUGUAAUGAUCUGGACACUGUCUCAACCGUGAGCUCGGUGAAAUUGUAGUAUCGGUGAAGAUGCCGAUUACCCGCGAUGGGACGAAAAGACCCCGUGAACCUUUACUAUAGCUUA
RNAcentral lists this ribosomal RNA (2076 nucleotides) under human gut metagenome. RNAcentral describes it as "bacterial LSU rRNA". It matches the Rfam family "Bacterial large subunit ribosomal RNA", at positions 23 to 2113 of the family's 2925-position model. The record is from RNAcentral.